Molecule: long non-coding RNA, 936 nt
Filed under: Bos grunniens (domestic yak)
Lineage: Eukaryota; Metazoa; Chordata; Mammalia; Artiodactyla; Bovidae
Description: lncRNA (ENSBGRG00000004661.1)
Source: RNAcentral
CCCGUCCCUGGGAUUCUCCAGGCAAGAACACUGGAGUGGGUUGCCACUUCCUUCUCCAAUGCAGGAAAGUGAAAAGUGAAAGUGAAGUCGCUCAGUCGUGUCCGACUCUGUGCGACCCCAUAGACGGCAGCCCACCAGGCUCCCCCGUCCCUGGGAUUCUCCAGGCAAGAACACUGGAGUGGGUUGCCACUUCCUUCUCCAAUGCAGGAAAGUGAAAAGUGAAAGUGAAGUCGCUCAGUCGUGUCCGACUCUUAGCGACCCCUUGGACUGCAGCCUACCAGGCUCCUCCAUCCAUGGGAUUCUCCAGGCAAGAGUACUGGAGUGGGGUGCCAUUGCCAGUUUUAAGUAAAUUCUAAUUACAUUUAGAACAAUGAAUCACUGGUGUGACUGAUUUUGGGCCCAGAAAAACAUGGACUUCAUAAUACUCACAAUCAUGCAUAGCUCUUGGCACUUCCAAGGAUGAAUGUGUUUGGCUGUGACAUGACUCCAGUGUCCUGGCCAGAAUUGCUUGGAACAAAGAUGAACCCUGACCAGGAACUGUGUCAUUUAAUAUAUUACUGCACAGAAAAAGAUUGGAGGGAACCCAUGCAAGUCUAAGACGCACACUGCUAUUGCUCAGGUUUGUGAUUUUUUUUAAUGCUUUAUUUGGCUGCACUGGGUCAUAGUUGUGGUAAUUGGGAUCUUCCGUCAUCAUUGUGGCAUUAAGGAUCCUUUUUACUUUCUGCAUGCCAGAUCUAGUUUCCUGAUCAGGAAUCGAACCCAAGCCCCUGCACUGGAAGGACCAAGUCUUAGCAACUGGACAACCAAGGAAGACCCAGUUUUGUGAAUUUUAACUACUUUAGAUACUCUUCAGGUGAGUGGGGUGGCGCACAUGCAUUUGUUUAACUCCUACACUGCACUAGAUAAGUUAAUUAUAACAUUUUAAGACUGGAUUUC